Molecule: ribosomal RNA, 2195 nt
Filed under: bioreactor metagenome
Description: bacterial LSU rRNA
Rfam family: Bacterial large subunit ribosomal RNA
Source: RNAcentral
CCGGAGCGAAAGCGAGUCUGAAUAGGGCGUACAGUCGCAGGGAUUAGACACGAAACCAGGUGAGCUAACCAUGGCCAGGUUGAAGCGAGUCUAAACGCUCGUGGAGGACCGAACCUACUAAUGUUGCAAAAUUAGGGGAUGAGCUGUGGUUAGAGGUGAUAUGCCAAACGAACUUGGAGAUAGCUUGUUCUCCCCGAAAUAGCUUUAGGGCUAGCGUCAUGUGUUAAAUAACGGAGGUAGAGCACUGAAUGGGCUAGGGGGCUCACUGCUUACCAAACCCAAUCAAACUCCGAAUGCCGUUAUUCGAGAGCAUGGCAGUCGGACUCCGGGAGAUGAGUUUCGGGGUCGAAAGGGAAAGAGCCCAGACCAUCGGCUAAGGUCCCCAAAUUCAAGCUAAGUGGGAAACGAUGUGAGGUUACUGAAACAACCAGGAGGUUAGCUUAGAAGCAGCUAUCCUUUAAAGAGUGCGUAAUAGCUCACUGGUCGAGUGAUCUUGCGCGGAAAAUUUAACGGGGCUAAGCUUGAUACCGAAGCCAUGGGUUCUAGAUUUAUCUAGAGCGGUAGGGGAGCGUUCUGUCAGCAGUGAAGGUUGACCGUGAGGACAGCUGGAGUGGACAGAAGCGAGAAUGCAGGCAUGAGUAGCGUAAAACACGUGAGAACCGUGUUCACCGUAUGUCUAAGGUUUCCGACGCCAGGUCGUUCCGCGUCGGGUUAGUCGGGGCCUUAGCCGAGGCCGAGAGGCGUAGGCGAUGGAUAACCGGUCAACAUUCCGGUACUACUUAAUACGAGCGAUGGAGGGACGCAUAGAGGUAAGCCAGCCUGAGAUUGGAAGUUCAGGUGAACCAUGUGUCAGACGUUGAAGUCCGCAGGAAAUCCACGGACCGAGUUGAGACAUGGUUGCGAGUCUAUAAGACGUAAGUGAGCUGACCCUUAGUGCCAAGAAAAGCUUCUAAGUGUUGACUAUUAAGUACCCGUACCGCAAACCGACACUGGUAGACGGGUAGAAUAUACCAAGGUGAACGGGAGAACCUUCGUUAAGGAACUCGGCAAUUUAGCUCGUAACUUCGGGAUAAGAGGUGCCCUUUGACGUGAAAGUUUACUUGAGCGUCGGAGGGUCGCAGUGAAAUGGCUCAAGGGACUGGUUAACAAAACCACAGGUCUCUGCAAACCGUAAGGUGAUGUAUAGGGGCUGACACCUGCCCAGUGCCGGAAGGUUAAAGGGAGAGGUUAGCGCAAAGCGAAGCUUGAACUGAAGCCCCGGUGAACGGCGGCCGUAACUAUAACGGUCCUAAGGUAGCGAAAUUCCUUGUCGGGUAAGUUCCGACCCGCACGAACGGUGUAACAACUUGAGCAGUGUCUCAACGAAGGACCCGGCGAAAUUGAAAUGGCUGUGAAGAUGCGGCCUACCCGCAGUAGGACAAAAAGACCCCGUGGAGCUUUACUGCAGCUUGACAUUGAGUUUGGAUAUUAUUUGUGGAGGAUAGGUGGGAGGCUAUGAAGCUAGGGCGCCAGCCUUGGUGGAGCCAUCAGUGAAAUACCACCCUGGUAAUGUUUAGACCCUAACCUACGACCGUUAUCCGGCGUAGGGACCGUGUCAGGUGGGCAGUUUGACUGGGGCGGUCGCCUCCUAAAGAGUAACGGAGGCGCCCAAAGGUUCCCUCAGGCUGAAUGGAAACCAGCCGUAGAGUGUAAAGGCACAAGGGAGCUUGACUGCAAGACCAACGCGUCGAGCAGAGACGAAAGUCGGGCUUAGUGAUCCCACGCUUCUGAGUGGAAAGGGCGUGGCUCACCGGAUAAAAGCUACCCCGGGGAUAACAGGCUAGUCAGGUCCAAGAGUCCAUAUCGACGACCUGGCUCGGCACCUCGAUGUCGGCUCAUCGCAUCCUGGGGCUGGAUAAGGUCCCAAGGGUCGGGCUGUUCGCCCGUUAAAGCGGUACGCGAGCUGGGUUCAGACCGUCGUGAGACAGGUCGGUCUCUAUCCACUGUGGGCGUAAGGGAUUUGAGGAGAGCUGCUCCUAGUACGAGAGGACCGGGGUGGACAGACCUCUAGUGUGCCAGUUGUCGUUCCAACGGCAUCGCUGAGUAGCUACGUCUGGCAGAGAUAACCGCUGAAAGCAUCUAAGUGGGAAACUCGCCUCAAGAUUAGAUCCCUGUAAUCCAGUAAUGGAGUAAGAUCGCAGGUAGACCACCUGCUU